UUUGCUGAAGAUUUGCCUGAUGCCUGCCCUUUGCUCAACACCUUCUGUUGUUUUUCCUGCUACCUGGUGGGCAGAUGGGAAGGCUGUGCUGGGACCUCCGUCUCGGACCCUGAGACCGAGGGCCACGGCUUAGGAACGGCAAGGGGUGAACAGGAAGGAGUCUAGGACACUGGGACACUGGGCGUGUUCUGAAGUCUCCAGAUUAGCCCUGAACUGCCUGCAUCUGGACUUCAUUUACACCAGAGGAAAAGAAACCUCUCUUUUGUUUUUUGUUGAUUUUUAAAAAUUAAGUUUAUUAAAUUUUAUUAUGACCACAUUUCUAUGCCCUGAGCAGUAGAAGCUAAUGUAAAAUGUCAGCUAGCAUACACGCUGGGCCUUUUUAUUUUAAAAUGUGCUCGAUCGGCCUUUAUCUAUUCUGUCCAGAAUUUUAGCUGGAGUGACCAAAAGAGCCCUGGACCGGAGAGGGGAGGCCACUUGCCUGGGGUCACACAGCAGGGGAAGGGCACAGCUGGAGUCUGACCCCAUAGCCCCAGGCCCUAACCCCCAGCCCUCAAUUCCAAGCAGCUCCCAGCUCGGGGUGUUUGCUGGCCUCCUCCAGGCUCAGUCCAGACCAGGGGCAGCGUGAUCUACUCCUCCUCUGCCUUUUAGACCAAGAACCAGGGCUUUCUUUCUUAUUUCUUAGGGCCUGGAACAUGCUGCCAGUGUGAGAGAAAACUCCCACUGUGGGUGCAGAGGGGACUGAAUCGCAGCCCCGCCCCUGGCAAGCUGUGCACCCUGGAGAAUACCUCAGCCUCUCUGAGCCGCGGUUUCCCUGCCUAGCGAGACGCCCAGCAGGCCCGGCGCUCUGCAGGCUCCGAGGUGCCGUGUUUAGAAUGUCUGACAUCUCUGGAAGGACAGAGCGC
This is a long non-coding RNA of Phyllostomus discolor (pale spear-nosed bat), 902 nucleotides long. RefSeq lists it as uncharacterized. The transcript is spliced from 2 exons. The record is from RefSeq and is a predicted model, not a curated record. NCBI's taxonomy places the organism in Eukaryota, Metazoa, Chordata, Mammalia, Chiroptera, Phyllostomidae.